GAGGCGAAACCCGAAAAGCCUAUAAAAGAGUAGGGG
RNAcentral lists this non-coding RNA (36 nucleotides) under unclassified sequences. RNAcentral describes it as "DUF805b RNA". It matches the Rfam family "DUF805b RNA". Rfam says of the family: Bacteroidetes, Chlorobi (1 example), Proteobacteria. Lineage (Flavobacteria) The record is from RNAcentral.